GACGAACGCUGGCGGCGUGCUUAACACAUGCAAGUCGAACGAAGAGCGAUGGAAGCUUGCUUCUAUCAAUCUUAGUGGCGAACGGGUGAGUAACGCGUAAUCAACCUGCCCUUCAGAGGGGGACAACAGUUGGAAACGACUGCUAAUACCGCAUACGAUCUAACCUCGGCAUCGAGGAUAGAUGAAAGGUGGCCUCUACAUGUAAGCUAUCACUGAAGGAGGGGAUUGCGUCUGAUUAGCUAGUUGGAGGGGUAACGGCCCACCAAGGCGAUGAUCAGUAGCCGGUCUGAGAGGAUGAACGGCCACAUUGGGACUGAGACACGGCCCAGACUCCUACGGGAGGCAGCAGUGGGGAAUCUUCCGCAAUGGACGAAAGUCUGACGGAGCAACGCCGCGUGAGUGAUGACGGCCUUCGGGUUGUAAAGCUCUGUUAAUCGGGACGAAAGGCCUUCUUGCGAAUAGUGAGAAGGAUUGACGGUACCGGAAUAGAAA
RNAcentral lists this ribosomal RNA (492 nucleotides) under Veillonella parvula. RNAcentral describes it as "bacterial SSU rRNA". It matches the Rfam family "Bacterial small subunit ribosomal RNA", at positions 28 to 489 of the family's 1533-position model. Lineage: Bacteria; Bacillati; Bacillota; Negativicutes; Veillonellales; Veillonellaceae. The record is from RNAcentral.